Molecule: ribosomal RNA, 560 nt
Filed under: Levilactobacillus brevis
Lineage: Bacteria; Bacillati; Bacillota; Bacilli; Lactobacillales; Lactobacillaceae
Description: bacterial SSU rRNA
Rfam family: Bacterial small subunit ribosomal RNA
Source: RNAcentral
UUGAAAAUCAAAAAGGAAAUGACGGGGGGCCCGCACAAGGCGGGUGGAGCAUGUGGUUUAAUUCGAAGCUACGCGAAGCUCCUUACCAGGUCUUAACAUCUUCUGCCAAUAUUAGAGAUAAGACCUUCCCUUUGGGGACAGAAUGACAGGUGGAGCAUGGUUGUCGUCAGCUGGUGUCGUGAGAUGUUGGGUUAAGUCCCGCAACGAGCGCCACCCUUAUUAUCAGUUGCCAGCAUUCAGUUGGGCAUUCUGGUGAGACUGCCGGCGACAAACCGGAGGAAGGUGGGGAUGACGUCAAAUCAUCACCCCCCUUAUGACCUGGGCUACACACGUGCUACAAUGGACGGUACAACGAGUCGCGAAGUCGUGAGGAUAAGAUAAUCUAUUAAAGCCGUUAUCAGUUCGGAUAGUAGGCUGCAACUCGCCUACAAGAAGUUGGAAUCGGUAGUAAUCGCGGAUCAGCAUGCCGCGGUGAAUUUGUUCCCGGGCCUUGUCCACACCGCCCGUCUCACCAUGAGAGUUUGCAACACCCAAAGCCGGUGAGAUCCCUUCGGGAGUCA